AGAAGGUGGAGUCAAAGAGACGCCAUGUAGCUACAACCAGGGACAGAUGCACUGGAACCUUGCUGGUAAACCCUGAGCCUCAUGGUCUGUGAAGAAUUUUGCUGGGAUUUUGAUGGACAUUGUAUUGAAUCAGUAGACUGCUUUUGGACUGCUUCGGCCUCCUUCUUCUCUAUUGACAUUAAUGGUUGAAUCCCUGGAAUGAUUUGGAAGGGACUCCCUGACUCAGAGGUCAAGCCAUUUGCUUACCCAUCUAAUCAGAACAGUCCAUAAUUUGGGAGGAACACAUCCACAAAGCCUUUUCACUAAUUAGCCCGACACUCGUGGAUCUCUGAAGCCUCGCAGACAAUGAGGAGGAAACAGCAGUGAUGAAGCCUCUCAAAUCAGUCUUCCAUGAUUAGGAAAUGAGAUAAGGGCGGGAAGCUUUUAACAAAGCUGACAGCCAUCUUGCAAACACUGGAGGCAGCUUUCUGUAAUCUGAGAGGACUCCAGAUGCAGGAGAAAAACAAACAUUAA
Molecule: long non-coding RNA, 513 nt
Organism: Alexandromys fortis (reed vole)
Lineage: Eukaryota; Metazoa; Chordata; Mammalia; Rodentia; Cricetidae
Exons: 3
Source: RefSeq, a predicted model, not a curated record